GUAACAUCUUCAAUAAGGAGCUCAGGAUGUUGCUUUGGAAAGCUUUAAGUUUGAUUACUCUGCUCAACAGUUGUUUAUCGGCAGCUUCUGUUACAACUCCUGCUAUAGAUGUAUACAUUAGAAGCGAAGGGUGCGAAGAUCCAAGAAGGACACCGAACACAUGUGGAAUUGCUUGUAUCAAGGUGAACGACAAGGAUUAAUCCCGUCGCGGCAGAGGACUUAACGUUGUUGUUUUGGACGGUGCAACAGUGUCAUUCUUGCUUCAAUAGUAUUCGACACCCAUGGGAAAAGAUAUGCCGAUGAUAACCUGAGGGAUUACCUCAACAGCAUCAAAGGAAAGUCAAGUAAUUUUAUUUCAGGUUAAUAGUGUAGUUCUAUCAUUCUAGUCUUAGAAAAUCAUACCUUUAAAAUGAUGCUUAACUCUUUGUAGCUCAGGUAUCGUAUAUAGUUCAAAAAUCAUGUUUCCUGAACAGAAGACUCACCAGUGUACAAUUUCUGGACUGAAUUAAAGCAGUUUGAAAACGUGUUUUUGCUUUAGUGUGAAUGGGACGUCUUAUUUUCAACACUGAGCAAGGUUUGUGUGAAAAGCUUUGUUCAUUAGAGAGUAUUACCUGGUUCAACAAGUUGCUUCACUUUGCGACUGAAACUCCAGGCUUUGAUAUGUUAACUUGUUACCAAAACACUUGUCACGAGCUUGGCUCGUGUUAGAAGUCGACCACCAACAACUAAUCUUCUAAUUUUGUCCCAU
Long non-coding RNA from Stylophora pistillata, 748 nucleotides. RefSeq lists it as uncharacterized. NCBI's taxonomy places the organism in Eukaryota, Metazoa, Cnidaria, Anthozoa, Scleractinia, Pocilloporidae. The record is from RefSeq and is a predicted model, not a curated record.